RNAcentral lists this ribosomal RNA (305 nucleotides) under uncultured bacterium. RNAcentral describes it as "bacterial SSU rRNA". It matches the Rfam family "Bacterial small subunit ribosomal RNA", at positions 335 to 638 of the family's 1533-position model. The record is from RNAcentral.
GCGCCUACGGGAGGCAGCAGUGAGGAAUAUUGGUCAAUGGGCGAGAGCCUGAACCAGCCAAGUCGCGUGAGGGAAGACGGUCCUAUGGAUUGUAAACCUCUUUUGCCGGGGAGCAAAAAGCGGUACGUGUACCGCAUCGAGAGUACCCGGAGAAAAAGCAUCGGCUAACUCCGUGCCAGCAGCCGCGGUAAUACGGAGGAUGCGAGCGUUAUCCGGAUUUAUUGGGUUUAAAGGGUGCGCAGGCGGCGAGUUAAGUCAGCGGUAAAAUUUAGGGGUUUAAACCCGACAAGCCGUUGAAACUGGUU